Molecule: transfer RNA, 57 nt
Filed under: Dracunculus medinensis (Guinea worm)
Lineage: Eukaryota; Metazoa; Nematoda; Chromadorea; Rhabditida; Dracunculidae
Description: tRNA-Met
Source: RNAcentral
AGCGAAUUAGGAUAAAUAUAAGUCUUAGUAAUUCAUGAUUAUUAGGUUUGUUCGUUA